GGUUAAGCGACUAAGCGUACACGGUGGAUGCCCUGGCAGUCAGAGGCGAUUAAGGACGUGCUAAUCUGCGAUAAGCGUCGGUAAGGUGAUAUGAACCGUUAUAACCGGCGAUUUCCGAAUGGGGAAACCCAGUGUGUUUCGACACACUAUCAUUAACUGAAUCCAUAGGUUAAUGAGG
RNAcentral lists this ribosomal RNA (178 nucleotides) under Escherichia coli. Its description in RNAcentral is "partial 23S ribosomal RNA". It matches the Rfam family "Bacterial large subunit ribosomal RNA", at positions 1 to 179 of the family's 2925-position model. Lineage: Bacteria; Pseudomonadati; Pseudomonadota; Gammaproteobacteria; Enterobacterales; Enterobacteriaceae. The record is from RNAcentral.